AAUUAUUAAAAGCCAAUAUUAAAUGGCAACUCACUGUUAAUGAGUAAAAGAAGGACCCCUUCUUAAACAUUAC
RNAcentral lists this transfer RNA (73 nucleotides) under Mecistocephalus marmoratus. Its description in RNAcentral is "tRNA-Asn". The record is from RNAcentral. Lineage: Eukaryota; Metazoa; Arthropoda; Chilopoda; Geophilomorpha; Mecistocephalidae.